Molecule: ribosomal RNA, 835 nt
Filed under: Saccharothrix sp. IM-0212-2
Lineage: Bacteria; Bacillati; Actinomycetota; Actinomycetes; Pseudonocardiales; Pseudonocardiaceae
Description: bacterial SSU rRNA
Rfam family: Bacterial small subunit ribosomal RNA
Source: RNAcentral
GGCGGCGUGCUUAACACAUGCAAGUCGAGCGGUAAGGCCCUUCGGGGUACACGAGCGGCGAACGGGUGAGUAACACGUGGGUAACCUGCCCUGUACUCCGGGAUAAGCCUGGGAAACUAGGUCUAAUACCGGAUACGACCCCAUGGGGCAUCUUGUGGGGUGGAAAGUUCCGGCGGUAUGGGAUGGACCCGCGGCCUAUCAGCUUGUUGGUGGGGUGAUGGCCUACCAAGGCGACGACAGGUAGCCGGCCUGAGAGGGUGACCGGCCACACUGGGACUGAGACACGGCCCAGACUCCUACGGGAGGCAGCAGUGGGGAAUAUUGCACAAUGGGCGAAAGCCUAAUGCAGCGACGCCGCGUGAGGGAUGACGGCCUUCGGGUUGUAAACCUCUUUCAGCAGGGACGAAGCGCGAGUGACGGUACCUGCAGAAGAAGCACCGGCUAACUACGUGCCAGCAGCCGCGGUAAUACGUAGGGUGCGAGCGUUGUCCGGAAUUAUUGGGCGUAAAGAGCUCGUAGGCGGUUUGUUGCGUCGGCCGUGAAAACUUCACGCUUAACGUGGAGCCUGCGGUCGAUACGGGCAGACUUGAGUUCGGCAGGGGAGACUGGAAUUCCUGGUGUAGCGGUGAAAUGCGCAGAUAUCAGGAGGAACACCGGUGGCGAAGGCGGGUCUCUGGGCCGAUACUGACGCUGAGGAGCGAAAGCGUGGGGAGCGAACAGGAUUAGAUACCCUGGUAGUCCACGCCGUAAACGGUGGGUGCUAGGUGUGGGGGGCUUCCACGUCCUCCGUGCCGCAGCUAACGCAUUAAGCACCCCGCCUGGGGAGUACGGCCGC